UGAAGUUGCAAGACCAUAGCUUCACUGACAGUUCGUGACCAGCAGAAUUGGUGAGAUCAAGACCCUUAUAAAGAAGCUGUUUCUGGGGAGGAAUAGCACCGACGAGAUGAUAACACUGGCUUAAUAAGCUAUAAGCCCGGCACUUCAAUUCGAAGCAUGAUGGAAUAGACUUCAGUAACAAUUGAGAACGCUCGAGAUGGGAUUUCGCAUGAUUGACGUUGUGAGAAUGAGUGAGUAGAAGGGUGGCAAUUCGAAGCCGAGUCUUGACCUCAACGACUGGAAAGAAAGACACAGGACUCUGGCAUAUGGCUUCCAAACACUUUAUUGCCUUCCCUAGUUCCCCCUGCUUCUCGUGGUAAUCUGCCAGCCUCCACAAUCCCUCCGCCACUGCUUCCAUAUCAUCAGAUUCUUUUCAGUAGGAGUGUCAAUCAGAUUGCUGCCAGCUUAUAAUCUGCGAGAAAGGGGGCGCCAAGCUCACACGACAA
Molecule: unclassified non-coding RNA, 485 nt
Filed under: Hevea brasiliensis (rubber tree)
Lineage: Eukaryota; Viridiplantae; Streptophyta; Magnoliopsida; Malpighiales; Euphorbiaceae
Source: RNAcentral